This 1319-nucleotide long non-coding RNA is filed under the name Gossypium barbadense (sea-island cotton). Its description in RNAcentral is "long non-coding RNA (GBAR_LNC018384)". The record is from RNAcentral. Lineage: Eukaryota; Viridiplantae; Streptophyta; Magnoliopsida; Malvales; Malvaceae.
AAACAUAUAUACACAUACAUAAUCAACAACUUAUAUUACUUCUACAUCCAAAUGCCAAUUACACUUGGUUACCAUUGUAAUAACCCAUUUUGCCCGGCCCAAUAAAUACCAAAAAAGAAAAAACAAAUAAAUUAAAUUAAAAUAUCCACUAUUAACAAUCUAGUUUUUUACAAAUAUUAAAAUUAAACCAAAAAUUCAAUUAAAUAAAUGCCCAUUUACAGACUCACAGCCCAAUCAGCCAAAACCAUAAUUACAAUUACCAAAUAUUAAACCCAUGCCCCAAAUAUAUAACCCAAGUCAUUCUAACCUAAACUACCCAAAAUUAACCCAAUUUGACCCAGCUAUAAUGGCCCAAACAGCCCAAAUUUUUCUAGAAACCCCUAGCGUUUCUAGAUCCUUCUGGAGCUGCAGCAGUCAAUAGCUCUAGCAUCCAAGCACAUACACGCGCCUUCAACUCCUUGCACACCAGAUCCACGCGUGUUCCCUCCAAGCUGGCCUCGCACCUGCAACAAACAGCAACAACAGAAAAGGGGCAACGAAAAUGCGAGGAAAAAAAACAAUAAUAGAAAAUAUAGCGAAAAAGAGAAAUUUCUCUGUAUUUUUCUUUUAUUUUUUUUGGCUAUAUAAAGCCAUUUCUGAAUCUGUAAAAGAGGAUGGAAUACUCGCAUAUUGAAUAUAAAUAAAAAAAUCAACGCAGAAAGUUUUUUAGGAAAGGUGAUUUUCUUCGUUUUUUCUUUCUUUUUUUUAUUUCUUUGGUUCUUUGUUUUCUUCUUUUGCACCAAACGAAAAUAAAAAGAGGAAGAGAAGAAGUGUCUUACCAGGGUAGACGCCAUUGGAACCUGGUUUGCUCCGUCUGAAUCGGAGUAAGAUCAGGUUCAUGAUUGGAAACAGCGGAGAAAGGCUAGGCCAUUGAUUUGUUUUAGAAUGGCAAAACAACUUAUUAGGGUUUUAUUUUUUAGUUUUUCAUGAUAAUAAAACGGUGCCGUUUAAGCCUCAUUUAAUGGCUUCAAAACGUCACUGUGUGGGAUGACCCGGUGAUCCGACUUGAUCCGGGGUAGGAUCCGCACAUUUUGGUUCAUUGGUUUAUUUGCGCAACGAGCCCCUCUAUGUAUUGUGUUGUUUCAAUUUGAUUUUCUCUAAUUUUUUUAAAUCUGUACCGCACAUUUGGUUCCGAUUCCAUUUGGAUCCAUAUUUAAAUGGCGUCGUUUUCAACAAUUGGAUUUGAGUAUCCAGAUUUGUGCGUCUAAUUGCAGCAAUAGUCCCUCUGGUGUGCAAUGGUUCUCAAUUUGGUCGUUUUCCUACUAAUUUAAAAGUCGUCC